This 776-nucleotide ribosomal RNA is filed under the name uncultured Neocallimastigales. RNAcentral describes it as "partial large subunit ribosomal RNA". It matches the Rfam family "Eukaryotic large subunit ribosomal RNA", at positions 23 to 639 of the family's 3401-position model. The record is from RNAcentral. Lineage: Eukaryota; Fungi; Neocallimastigomycota; Neocallimastigomycetes; Neocallimastigales.
AGAGAGAGACAUGCGCGCAUAUCAAUAAGCGGAGGAAAAGAAACUAACUAGGAUUCCCUCAGUAACGGCGAGUGAAGCGGGAAGAGCUCAAAUUUGAAAUCUUAAAGGGUUUCCCUUGACGAAUUGUAGUUUAAAGAAGUGUUUUCUGUUGAGGUUUUGGUAAAAGUUCUUUGGAAUAGGACAUCAUAGAGGGUGAGAAUCCCGUAUUUGACCAUUUACUUUCAGCUUUGUGAUACACUUUCAAAGAGUCGGAUUGUUUGGGAAUGCAGUCCAAAAUGGGUGGUAAAUUUCAUCUAAAGCUAAAUAUUGGCGAGAGACCGAUAGCGAACAAGUACCGUGAGGGAAAGAUGAAAAGAACUUUGAAAAGAGAGUUAAACAGUACGUGAAAUUGUCAAAAGGGAAGCGUUUGACACCAGUGUUGUUUUCUCGAAAAUCAAUUAAAAAAGGCAGGAUUUUGUGUUGUAUUGACUUUAUCAGCUUUCUGCACUCUUUUCUUGUCUUUUUUAAUGCACUUUUCGUUUAACAAGUCAACAUCAAUUUCUUUUGUUGUAAAAGGGUCAUUGGAAGGUGGCUUUCUUUUCGGAGAAAGUGUUUAUAGCCUUUGGCCUCUGCAAUCGGAGAGAUUGAGGUCUGCAGCGUAGAUCCUUCGGGGCUAGAUACAUUUGUGCUAAGUUAUAGCAUUUUAUAGACAACUUGUUGACUAUGAUUUAGUCUUGUAGCUUACUCGCUUAUGUUAUUUUACCUACGCUUAGGAUGUUGAUGUGAUACUGCGAGCA